This 497-nucleotide ribosomal RNA is filed under the name uncultured bacterium. Its description in RNAcentral is "partial 16S ribosomal RNA". It matches the Rfam family "Bacterial small subunit ribosomal RNA", at positions 28 to 507 of the family's 1533-position model. The record is from RNAcentral.
GACGAACGCUGGCGGCGUGCCUAAUACAUGCAAGUUGAGCGAUGAAGAUUGGUGCUUGCACCAAUUUGAAGAGCAGCGAACGGGUGAGUAACGCGUGGGGAAUCUGCCUUUGAGCGGGGGACAACAUUUGGAAACGAAUGCUAAUACCGCAUAACAACUUUAAACAUAAGAUUUAAGUUUGAAAGAUGCAAUUGCAUCACUCAAAGAUGAUCCCGCGUUGUAUUAGCUAGUUGGUGAGGUAAAGGCUCACCAAGGCGAUGAUACAUAGCCGACCUGAGAGGGUGAUCGGCCACAUUGGGACUGAGACACGGCCCAAACUCCUACGGGAGGCAGCAGUAGGGAAUCUUCGGCAAUGGACGAGAGUCUGAACGAGCAACGCCGCGUGAGUUGAGAAGGUUUUCGGAUCGUAAAACUCUGUUGGUAGAGAAGAAAGUUGGUGAGAGUAGAAAGCUCAUCAAGUGACGGUAACUACCCAGAAAGGGACGGCUAACUACGUG